UUGAAAUGUUGAACGCACAUGAUGACAUCGGUCCUUUCGGAUUAGGUGUUAUACUUGGGUGAGAGUGGUCCUGAU
This 75-nucleotide ribosomal RNA is filed under the name Dictyostelium discoideum. RNAcentral's name for it is "partial 5.8S ribosomal RNA". The record is from RNAcentral. Lineage: Eukaryota; Evosea; Eumycetozoa; Dictyosteliales; Dictyosteliaceae.